RNAcentral lists this long non-coding RNA (229 nucleotides) under Lathyrus oleraceus (garden pea). RNAcentral describes it as "Pisum sativum (pea) long non-coding RNA (PSAT_LNC005510)". The record is from RNAcentral. Lineage: Eukaryota; Viridiplantae; Streptophyta; Magnoliopsida; Fabales; Fabaceae.
GGUAAGAGAGUAAGGAAUGGAGGAAAAGAAGAUGUGAUCAUUUUUUUCUUCUGAAGAUGAGAGAUAUGUUUUUCAUUUUAAUAAUGAGAGAGAGAUAUUUUUAUUUAUGAGAGUGAGACAGCUAUCAAGAAGUAGCAGAGGGAGGGCGGUUUGAUAUGUAGGGAGUUGAGAGAGUUGACAUUUGCGUGAGACUUGCAAUAGACUACCAAUUUUAGUAAUCAUAUUUGAA